This 496-nucleotide ribosomal RNA is filed under the name uncultured bacterium. RNAcentral's name for it is "partial 16S ribosomal RNA". It matches the Rfam family "Bacterial small subunit ribosomal RNA", at positions 28 to 506 of the family's 1533-position model. The record is from RNAcentral.
GACGAACGCUGGCGGCGUGCCUAAUACAUGCAAGUUGAGCGCUGAAGGUUGGUACUUGUACCAACUGGAUGAGCAGCGAACGGGUGAGUAACGCGUGGGGAAUCUGCCUUUGAGCGGGGGACAACAUUUGGAAACGAAUGCUAAUACCGCAUAAAAACUUUAAACACAAGUUUUAAGUUUGAAAGAUGCAAUUGCAUCACUCAAAGAUGAUCCCGCGUUGUAUUAGCUAGUUGGUGAGGUAAAGGCUCACCAAGGCGAUGAUACAUAGCCGACCUGAGAGGGUGAUCGGCCACAUUGGGACUGAGACACGGCCCAAACUCCUACGGGAGGCAGCAGUAGGGAAUCUUCGGCAAUGGACGAAAGUCUGACCGAGCAACGCCGCGUGAGUGAAGAAGGUUUUCGGAUCGUAAAACUCUGUUGGUAGAGAAGAACGUUGGUGAGAGUGGAAAGCUCAUCAAGUGACGGUAACUACCCGGAAAGGGACGGCUAACUACGG